This is a long non-coding RNA of Pipistrellus kuhlii (Kuhl's pipistrelle), 149 nucleotides long. RefSeq lists it as uncharacterized. NCBI's taxonomy places the organism in Eukaryota, Metazoa, Chordata, Mammalia, Chiroptera, Vespertilionidae. The record is from RefSeq and is a predicted model, not a curated record. The transcript has 3 exons.
GAAGAAAUCUUUGGUUAUUCAUACAAAAACUGAGUUGAUGGGAGACAAGUCAUAAUCUAAUGUUUUUGUUGAGGGACAGAGUGAACGUUGCUAAUGGAAUAAACCCUGAGGCGGAGCUGGUGUCUGUGUCUGAGGUGUCAGGGCCUGGA